GACGAACGCUGGCGGCGUGCCUAAUACAUGCAAGUUGAGCGCUGAAGGUUGGUACUUGUACCAACUGGAUGAGCAGCGAACGGGUGAGUAACGCGUGGGGAAUCUGCCUUUGAGCGGGGGACAACAUUUGGAAACGAAUGCUAAUACCGCAUAAAAACUUUAAACACAAGUUUUAAGAUUGAAAGAUGCAAUUGCAUCAAUCAAAGAUGAUCCCGCGUUGUAUUAGCUAGUUGGUAAGGUAAAGGCUCACCAAGGCAAGGAUGCAUAGCCGACCUGGGAGGGGGACGGCCCAAAUUGGAACUGGACCAGGGCCAAGCCCCCUCCGGGGGCAACAGUAGGGGAACUUCGGGAAAAGGCGGAAGUCUGGCCGAACAACGCCGCGGUAGGGAAGAAGGUUCUCGGGUCGUAAAACUCUGGUGGUAGGGGAGAACGAUGUGGGGAGUGGAAAGCGCAUCAAGUGACGGUAACUACUCAGAAAGGGACGGCUAACUACGUG
This 496-nucleotide ribosomal RNA is filed under the name uncultured bacterium. RNAcentral's name for it is "partial 16S ribosomal RNA". It matches the Rfam family "Bacterial small subunit ribosomal RNA", at positions 28 to 507 of the family's 1533-position model. The record is from RNAcentral.